GUCAACGCCGUAAACGAUGAGUGCUAGGUGCUGCGGGUAUUGACCCCUGCGGUGCCGUAGCUAACGCGUUAAGCACUCAGCCUGGGGAGUACGGCCGCAAGGCUAAAACUCAAAGGAAUUGACGGGGGCCCCGCACAAGCGGUGGAGCAUGUGGUUCAAUUCGACGCAACGCGCAGAACCUUACCUGGGUUAAAUCCACUGGAACCUUGCAGAGAUGCGGGGGUGCUCUUCGGAGAGCCAGUGAGAAGGUGCUGCAUGGCUGUCGU
RNAcentral lists this ribosomal RNA (266 nucleotides) under uncultured bacterium. RNAcentral's name for it is "partial 16S ribosomal RNA". It matches the Rfam family "Bacterial small subunit ribosomal RNA", at positions 793 to 1055 of the family's 1533-position model. The record is from RNAcentral.